This 5997-nucleotide long non-coding RNA is filed under the name Vigna radiata. RNAcentral's name for it is "long non-coding RNA (VRAD_LNC011758)". Lineage: Eukaryota; Viridiplantae; Streptophyta; Magnoliopsida; Fabales; Fabaceae. The record is from RNAcentral.
AAAAUAGAAAUUAUGCAAAUCCAGUAUUAUUAUUAACCAGAAAACAUCAGAAGGUUCCAACACCCUCUGCCCAGAGCAAGCUCCCCACCGAAAAAAUGACCAAAACGUGCCCCCCUCACCUCCUACACCUCAUCAUAUAUUACAACCCAUACUUUUUUCUUUUUCUCUUUCUUCUAACUAACAUCAUUCCCUCACAAAGCCAGGUCACUCUUUUCUCUCCUCUUAUAAACUUUGUCCCACCUAUUUUUAUUCUCUCCUGGGUACGUAUCAAUGCCUUCUUCAUGAAUUAAAACCUUGUCCUCAAGGCUAAACUCUGGAAAUUGACUUUUAAUAUUUAAUUCAUCUUCCCAAGUAGCUUCGUCUGCAUUUUGAUCUCUCCAUUGAACCAGUACCUGCUUCUUAGUUUCCCCUCUUUUGGUGUAGUUCCUAGUGGCUAAGAUACCCAUAGGAACUAAUACUUCGACUCUGUCAUCAUCUAACCCUGUAGGGAGAGCAUCCUCAACCUUAUACUUGCCCACCGCUUUCUUCAGCAAAGAUAUAUGAAAAACAGGAUGAAUCUUUGAAGUAGGUGGUAAUUUCAGACGAUAUGCCACCUCUUCUACUUUAUCCUCUACUUCAAAUGGUCCAUAGUAUUUAGCACUUAAUUUAUGACUAAUUCUGCUCAUGACCGACUGUUGUCUAUUCUGUUUCAACUUCAAAAACACAAUCUCCCACCGAAAAAUGUCUUUCCCUUCGAUGCUUAUUAGCAAUAGUCAUCAUUCUGUCUUGGGCACGUUAUAAAUGAGACGUUAACUGUCUUAGUGCUUCAUCCCUCUCUAGAAGAUCCUUUUGAACAACUACUACCCUCACCUCUCCUUGAACCACCUGUACAAUCUUAGGAGGAAUUCUUCCAUACACUGCUUCAAAAGGAGUGAUUUGUGUGGAGUGAUAACAAUCUAAAAACCAUUAUUUUCAUGCUUAAAUUUGAUAUUAAAUCACACCCUUUAUGGCUUAGAAUUAGCUUGAAAUCAUGCAUUUUUAUUAAGUUAGAGAAUAAGAGAGUCAAAGAUGGUUUUCUUGGUUUUAUGCUUGGUUCCCUUGACUUUAUAGGUUUUUGGAAUGAAAUUGGAAGAAAGGUUGAAGUAUCAAAUGGUUGGAGUGUUGAAAAGUCAACCAGAAUGCUGAAAAGUCAACCACAGUGCAGAAAAAUAAUGUGCAGAAAAAAUCUGCUGGGGCUGAGCGGCACCUGAGCUGCAGCUGAGCGCCAUCACGCGUUGAGCGGCAGCUUUGGGCGCUGAGUGGCAGUUUUGCGCACUGAGCGGUCCUGCGAUUAGAGGGAAAUCGCUUAGCGGUUGUCUGUUUUUAUUUGGCGGAUUCUGUGAUCAUUGUGGCCUAUAUAUAGGCCAAGUGCGAAUCAAAACUCAUUCUUUUGGCAGAGAGAAACGUCCAGAGCUAUUCCACACACCUUGGAGGAGGUUCCUUGGAUGGUUAGGCUCCAAUUUACCAACUUUAGGGUUAUUUCUUCCAUUCUUUCAUCAUAUUUCAUCUAGUCUCACCAUGAUUAUGGUGAACUAAACCCUAGGUUGUUGGGGAACAAUGUAAUCUUUUGAAACUCUCAUAUACCCAAAUUCUUAUUUAUUUUAUAUGCUUGCAUAUGCUUGAUUUAUCAAUUGCUGGGUUCUUCACCUUUGCUUAAUGCUUUUAUCGUUAAACUCAUUCGGUAAAUGUUAUUUGUCUUUAUUGAUACGGGGACGUACAAUAAUGUCAUGAACUGGUGUUGAAUUCCUUGAUUAUGUUAAUACCGCCUAGGGAUAGGGGUAGGACUAUCAAUUGUAUUUUGCUUCCGCUUAUCAUGCAUUAUUAAUUACUAGGGGAGGCUAGGGAUAGCAAGCCGGUAAUUAGUAAUAGGCUCUUUUCACCAAGGGAUCGGGUUAAGGGUAGAAUAAGAAAGUUUGCAUGACAAUAUGAUAAAUAAGCUAAUUAAAUAAGAAGAGUAGAUAUAUGAGGGUGGAUAAGAUGAAAUUGUAAACCCCAACAACUCCAUUCAUCCAUAGUUUCUUAAAGCCAAUUGAAUCAUUGCAUUUGCAUGUUUACUUUUGUUCUUUGCAUACACACUUCAACUUAAUUCUUUUCUCAAGUUUUACGCGAUUUGUUUACAUGAAAAGUAAGGCCUAAGAGUCCUUUGGGAAACGAUACUUGGACUUACCCAUUUAUAUUACUUGAUAACGAUCUGGUACACUUGUCAGGGACUUAACAUGGAGCUAUGAUAAAUGGUAUUAAACCACAACUCUGCCCAGGGCAUCCAAAUCACCCACGUUUUGGGUUGAUCAGUAAUAAAACAUCUGAGGUAAUUUUCUAGACAUCGAUUAGUUACCUCAGUCUGUCCAUCCGAUUGCGGAUGAUAUGCCGUGCUCAUUUUCAGCUUUGUUCCUUGCAUCUUAAAGAGCUCUCUCCAAAACAAGCUCAUAAAUAUCGGAUCCCUAUCACUAACUACCAAAUUCGGUAUUCCGUGCAACCUUACUAUUUCUCUUACAAAAAUCUCGGCCAAGGACUUUGCCGUAUAAGGAUGUUUAAGGGGAACAAAUUGGCAGUAUCCUUACAAACUAGUUUUGUUGUCCACCUGUUGUUAUCCUUUGUUGCAUUAAUUGGUUAAGACUCUUCUGGUCUGAAAAAACAGUAAAUUUGUGACCCAAAAGAUAAGGUCUCCAGUGUUGGAUAGCCACUGCCACUGCCAUCAACUCUCUUUCGUAUGCUGACUUUGUCAAAUUGCGUGAACUCAAGGCCUUACUAUAAUACGCCACAACUCUUUUUCCUUGCAUUAGGAUUGCUCUAAUCCCUGUCCCAGAGGCAUCACAUUCCAGGAAGAACUCUUCUUCAAAAUUUGGGAGCCUCAACACUGGUGUUGACGUGACCCUUUGUUUGAGCUCAUCAAGUGCUUCUUGAGCUUGUUCAUUCCACCCAAAUCCAUCCUUUCUAGUCAGCUCUGUUAAUGGUUUAGCUAUCUUACCAUAAUCUUUUAUGAACUUACGAUAAUAGCCUGUGAGGCCCAAAAAUCCACGAACUCCCUUUACGUUCUUGGGAAUUGGCCACUUUAACACACUAUUAACCUUCGCUGGGUCCACCGCAACUCCAUGUAUAGAAAUAAUAUGUCCCAGAUACUCCACCUUCUCAUGGCCAAACAAACAUUUUUCCUUGUUCGCAAAUAAUUGGUGAUCUCUCAAAACUUCUAGCACCUUCUCAAGCAACUGCAUAUGCUUUUCCCAAGUGUUACUGUACACGAGUAUGACAUCAAAAAACACCAAUACCCCUCGUCUCAACAACGUCCGAAAAACUUCAUUCAUAAGAGCUUGGAAUGUCGACUGGGUGUUCAUAAGCCCAAUUGGCAUCACGAGGUACUCAUAGUGACCUUCGUGGGUUCGAAAUGUUGUCUUUGGAAUGUCUUCCUCUCUCAUUCUGACUUGAUGAUAUCCUGAACGAAGGUCCAAUUUAGAGAAAUAUUUGGCUCCAUGCAACUCAUCCAAUAACUCCUCAAUAGCUGGUAUUGGAAAUUUAUCUGGAAUAGUGGCCUUGUUCAAAGCUCUAUAAUCAACACACAUGCGCCAUCUGUUAUUUUUCUUCUUCACCAGAAUGAUUGGGCUCGAAUAAGCACUCUGGCUAUGCCUGAUAUGACCCACUUCCAUCAACUCUUGCACUUGUCUCUCAAUUUCAUUCUUCUGGUGAUACGCAUAUCUGUAAGGCCUCACGUUAAUAGGUUCUUGUCCGGGUUUGAGAUGAAUUUUGUGUUCCUUUACAUGUCUAGGAGGUAGCCCCCUUAGGUUCAUCAAACACAUCUUUGAAAUGCUGCAGCAAGUGAUUUAAGACGCUUCGUUGCUCUGGACCCAACUCUGCAACUUCCAUCUUCUCUCUUUCCUCCAACACCCCACACACUGAGAUCAACAAUGAAUCCCCAUGAGGGACCCCUCUUAGCAGUUUCUGCCCUUGCUGAGUCUAGAUCUUCAUUUGCUAUUUUUUUCAAUCCACAGUUGUCUCUCCCAACAUCGUUAACCACGACAUCCCCAAUAUCACAUCCAUGUCCUCCAAAUCAAAGAGAAAAGCAUCAAUUUCAAACUCACCAUCAUCAAUCCUUACUUUGAUACCUCGACAAAUCCCUUGAGUCUUGGAUAUGUGCCCAUCUCCCAUCAGAAUCUUCAUUUGCUUGGUUCUUUCCCACUGCCAACCCAAGGCUUCCACAAGCUUUCGCAAAAUAAAAUUGUGUGUGGCUCCGCCAUCGAGCAAGAACAACAUCAGAAUCUCACCAAUCAGCCCACAUAACUUCAUAGUUCUCAGUUGAUCAUUUUGGUCUCUCGUGAGAGAGUAAAGAUUUAGUGUUGUGCAUUCUGCCACCACCUCAUCUUCGUCAUCUUUCUCCUCAUUUUCCUCUUAAUCCCCUUCGCAUUCAACUUGGAUUUCCUCAUUCAGCAUGACCACCCUUAGCUGCUUAACAAGACAUUGAUGAAGGGGACCGUAUACCCCACUGCAUUUGAAACACAAGCCCCUUUGUUUUCGGUCGAGAAGUUCUUCAUAAGAAAGAUGAUUUGCUCCUCUGUCACGUGACCCCCGUUUAUUCUUUGCACCCCCAAUCUUUCUGAACACUUGGGCCAGGCCCAUUUUCACCCCAACUUCCCCCAUACUAUUUUGGACCCGUUUUUCCCACCAUAGUCGAAAUGGGUCGGAGCCCUAUUUGAGAUCUGUCCCCUCGAGACUCUCCCCUUCCCUGCCAUAUUGUAUUUCUCCCUGAUAUCCCCACAUCGAUGGCACGAUCUACAUUCAUCAUGCCCCCCCUGGACAAAGGAUGUGCCACGUGCAAGCUUCAUAUUCUCGCACGUAUUUCGUUCUUCAGCCCUUGUGUAAAAUACGAAAAGUAUUGUUCAUCGGGCAUUCGUGGCACCUGAGCAAUGAGACACUCAAAACUUGUAAUAUAAUCUUCAAUACUUCCUCUUUGUUUUAUGGCAGCCAAUUGAUCAUAAAUACUCUGUUCUCCCCUAUCUCCAUAUCGCUCCAACAUCUCUCGUUUCAAGUCUUCCCAAGUUAACUCAUCGUAUUCAUUCAAUAAAGCAUGGAAAAAAUGAAUCAUGCUCCCUUCCAUAUAUAGUUGAGCAAGAUUCACUCGGACUACCUCUCGUGUCUCUUGUACGUUAAAAUAAACUUCAGCUCUCGCUAUCCACCCCAUUGGGUCUUCUCCAUAGAACGGUGGUAAUUCUAUCUUCUUCAUCGAUUGCUGAAAUUCGGCUAAAUCGUCCCCCUCGAGUUGUCUCAUACUUUUCGUUCUCUGUGUAUUCACCGAUCCUGACCCCAACUUUUCAUUCCUCCUCAUUCACAUUGGUGAACUUCGAAAUUAAGUGAAGGAGCUUUGAUUGAUUCUCAGCAGCUUCUCAACGUAAGGUUACGAUCUGUUCUGCUGAAUCCUUACGCAACUUUUCCAAAUUAGUUUGGCUUUGCAACGAUUGCGCCACGAGCUCCUCGACCACCGCUUUGAGUUUAGCGACCUCGCCCACAAUCAGCUCCGCCUCAUUCUCCUCACUUAUUGGCUCUCCUUGAACAUUGUUCUUUCUUGGUGGCAUGGUCUCCGAUCGGGAAAUAUUGAUCCGGUAGGUCGCACCAAUUGUUAGAAACCAAAAUUUACUAAUCAACGAAAUGAACAGUAAAAAUAGAAAUGAUGCAAAUCCAGUAUUAUUAUUAACCAGAAAACAUCAGAAGGUUCCAGCACCCUCUGCCUAGAGCAAGCUCCCCAACGAAAAAAAUGACCAAAACGUGUCCCCCCUCACCUCCUACACCUCAUCAUAUAUAACAACCCAUACUCUUUUCUUUUUCUCUCUCUUCUAACUAACAUCAUUCCCUCACAAAGCCAUGUCACUCUUUUCUCUCCUCUUAUAAACUCUGCCCCACUUAUUUUUAUUCUCUCUUGGAUACGUAUCAAGUAGUACACUAUCGUGAGUAAUCAACAGCAGACCAAACUAAAAGUUCUAAUGACAAACAAUG